UACGUAGGGUGCAAGCGUUAAUCGGAAUUACUGGGCGUAAAGCGUGCGCAGGCGGUUGUGCAAGACAGAUGUGAAAUCCCCGGGCUUAACCUAGGAAUUGCAUUUGUGACUGCACGGCUAGAGUGUGUCAGAGGGGGGUAGAAUUCCACGUGUAGCAGUGAAAUGCGUAGAUAUGUGGAGGAAUACCGAUGGCGAAGGCAGCCCCCUGGGAUAACACUGACGCUCAUGCACGAAAGCGUGGGGAGCAAACAGG
Molecule: ribosomal RNA, 253 nt
Filed under: uncultured bacterium
Lineage: Bacteria
Description: partial 16S ribosomal RNA
Rfam family: Bacterial small subunit ribosomal RNA
Source: RNAcentral